CGUGGAUAAGACAUGCAAGUCGAACGGGAUUUAAUCUGUAGCAAUAUAGAUUAGGUCUAGUGGCGAAUGGGUGCGUAACACGUGGGCAAUCUGCCGGAAAGUGGGGGAUAACUCGUCGAAAGGCGAACUAAUACCGCAUGUGGCCAGGUAGGACAUCCUACCGAAGCUAAAGUUGGGGCAACCUAACGCUUUCUGAUGAGCCCGCGGCCUAUCAGCUAGUUGGUGAGGUAACGGCUCACCAAGGCUAUGACGGGUAGCUGGUCUGAGAGGACGACCAGCCACACUGGAAUUGAGACACGGUCCAGACACCUACGGGUGGCAGCAGUCGAGAAUUUUUCUCAAUGGGCGAAAGCCUGAAGGAGCGACGCCGCGUGGAGGAUGAAGGUUUUCGGAUUGUAAACUCCUGUCAUUGGGGAACAAUUCUACGGGGAGUAACUGCCCUGUAGUUGAUAGUACCCGAAGAGGAAGGGACGGCUAACUCUGUGCCAGCAGCCGCGGUAAUACAGAGGUCAAGCGUUGUUCGGAUUCAUUGGGCGUAAAGGGUGCGUAGGCGGCAAGGUAAGUUGGAUGUGAAAUCCGGGGCCUCAACCCC
This 592-nucleotide ribosomal RNA is filed under the name uncultured bacterium. RNAcentral describes it as "bacterial SSU rRNA". It matches the Rfam family "Bacterial small subunit ribosomal RNA", at positions 43 to 616 of the family's 1533-position model. The record is from RNAcentral.